GGAAAGGAAUCAUCGAAGGGAAAAAAUCCUUAUAGGGAAGGAAGAGAACAGAAAAAGAACAGAAGAGAAGAGAAAAGCAUCUUUCGGAAGAAAGAGAGAAAGAGAAGGAAACGGUAGGAAGGAGGGGCACAAUGAACAAAUGCUGCAGCUCGCUCGCUCCCAAAUACAGCAAACCUCGAACUCAAGAAAAAAAAAAUAGAACAAAGAGAUAAGGAAGACCUUGAUGGAGUAGAAUCGGGUGCACACCAUGAGAGUCUCGUCUGGUGGAGCGCGGAGGCUUCGGAGUCUCGUCUGGUGGAGCACGACGACUCCACAAAUAUCGGCAUAAUAAAGCAUAAAAACACAAAGCGGUGGAAAAACAACGGUGGAAGAAGCUGAAGAAAUCUCCUAGAGCCACCUCGCAAUCUGCCAAGCUCGUGCUGCUCGUGCUUGCGAGGUUGAAGAAAGGGAAGAAACGGGGAUGGUGGUUUGUUAGAUGACAGAGGUAGCUAAUGGAGCUGAGGCAGGGUUGCAGCGAAGGACGGAUGACUUCUUUCCGUCCGAUUUUAA
Zingiber officinale is the source of this 549-nucleotide long non-coding RNA. RefSeq lists it as uncharacterized. Lineage: Eukaryota; Viridiplantae; Streptophyta; Magnoliopsida; Zingiberales; Zingiberaceae. The transcript has 2 exons. The record is from RefSeq and is a predicted model, not a curated record.